GCAUGUCACGCAUCCGACCCACGGGCCGUCAUUUUGACAGGCCUAAUCUGUACUAACAGCAGUUUUGGCUUCAGAGAGGACAACAGAGGAUUGAACCUUGUAUGUGCCAAACAUGGGUCUACCAUAAGUUUCUCCCUCCCCCAAGCAGAACAGAUGAAUGGUGUGAGGAAGAGCAUGCAUUUACCAACCAUAUCCAACUUCUUUCAAGCCACCAUUAGUAGUUUAACUAAAACACAGUUGAGUGACAUUUCGUAUUUCAUUAACAUUUAAAUUGAAUCUUCGGAGAAAGGCGGCAUACAAGUUGAACAAAUAAAUAAAUUAAUGGAAAAUUCCCUAUA
Molecule: long non-coding RNA, 338 nt
Organism: Pantherophis guttatus
Lineage: Eukaryota; Metazoa; Chordata; Lepidosauria; Squamata; Colubridae
Source: RefSeq, a predicted model, not a curated record